RNAcentral lists this ribosomal RNA (253 nucleotides) under uncultured bacterium. Its description in RNAcentral is "partial 16S ribosomal RNA". It matches the Rfam family "Bacterial small subunit ribosomal RNA", at positions 524 to 776 of the family's 1533-position model. The record is from RNAcentral.
UACGUAGGUGGCAAGCGAUACUCGGAAUCACUAGGCGUAAAGCGCAGGUAGGCGGCUUGUCGCGUCGACUGUGAAAACCCGCGGCUCAACUGCGGGCCUGCAGUCGAUACGGGCAGGCUAGAGUUCGGUAGGGGAGACUGGAAUUCCUGGUGUAGCGGUGAAAUGCGCAGAUAUCAGGAGGAACACCGGUGGCGAAGGCGGGUCUCUGGGCCGAUACUGACGCUGAGGAGCGAAAGCGUGGGGAGCGAACAGG